RNAcentral lists this long non-coding RNA (306 nucleotides) under Homo sapiens (human). RNAcentral describes it as "HSALNT0280613". Lineage: Eukaryota; Metazoa; Chordata; Mammalia; Primates; Hominidae. The record is from RNAcentral.
CCACCUGCAAGCUAACCAGCAUUAAACUGCAAGGAAAGUGAGAGAGACUUUGAAUGAGAUAAGAUAAAAUAUAGUCCCUGCAAGCAACUUCACCGGAUGCUAAAGCUAAGAAAUUAGAGGACAAACUAUCAUCUUUCUCAUCAUGGAAAAACACCAUCUCUUCAUGCUGACCUGCCAACAUAUCCAAACAACAGUAUGGGAAAUUCUGCAUUGUAACUUCUUGACCUACCACAACUACCAGCACUUGUUAAUCCAUCACCUUUUAUGAUCCCAGAGGACAUUUACAGCCUUCUCCUGGGAAACAAA